This 370-nucleotide long non-coding RNA is filed under the name Malus domestica (apple). RNAcentral's name for it is "long non-coding RNA (MDOM_LNC007978)". The record is from RNAcentral. Lineage: Eukaryota; Viridiplantae; Streptophyta; Magnoliopsida; Rosales; Rosaceae.
UUUAAAUAGAGCCGAUUCGGUUCAAAUCUGAUUCUUAUUGGAUAUGUAUCUUCAAGCUAGAUCUGAUGAUCAAAAUAUUUUUCAGAUCUGAAUUGUUCAAUUUCUUAAUUUUUAUUUGAAGAUCAUGCCUACAAAAGAUCAUUUGAAUCGGAAAUCUUUUAGUUAUUAAAUUGUAUCAAAUAAAUGAAUAGUAUAGGUACCAAAUAAUAUAUUAAUGAUGAUUAUCCAUUUAUUUAAUAUAUUUUGAUGACUAAACAAUAUCUGAUUCAAAAUAUUAUUUGUGAAGAUCAAAUUUCUAUAUAUGUUAUAUACAGGUGUAGAGCAUAUAUAGUUCAUGCAAAUUAACCUAGGCCAAAAAGUUAUUUGGUCC